UCUUAUCCCAUCACAUGGUCCACAGUAGAAUUAAAAAAUUUAUAGCCUCUAUCAUGGCAUGUGUUGUAUUGUUAUGGGUUAAGAGUUUUUAUUUUAAUUUUUUAAAUUUUCUUUUUUUACAAAUUUGAUAUUAGUUUUAAAUUUAUUUAAAAAACACCCUCCCCAUUAUCAGCCCAUCCCCUUCCCUGUCAGCCAUCACCCCCAUCUCCCCCUUCCCACACCCCAACCACCAACACUUCCCUCAUAACUCAUAGCCAUCACCCAUCGACCCCGUUACCGAGCGUGGGGACAUAUCGCGCGUGGAUUGGUGGAUUUCGUUUUGUGUAUGGGGAGGGUUUUCGUUGGCAACUUGGUGGGGAUGGAUUUAGGAGGGGGUGGGUUGAGGAGGUGGUUGUUGCGGUGGAGUUGAGGUGUUGAUUGUGAGGAAGAGGAGAGAGAAAGGAUGUGAUUGUAGUAAAGCGAGAGUGAGAGUUAAGAGGGUGGCAAGAACGAGUUUGGUUUCGAAGCAUAGUAAGAGAUUUUUGACAGGUAUUUCGGUGACUUCGCCGGUUGAUGGUGAAGAGUCUUGUUUCUUCACUAUUGGGGUGUGAUGUGUGAAGACCGAGGAGAGAUAGAGAGAGGAGGAUUUUAAAGGGGGUGGUGAUUGAGGGAGCUGAGAUGGUGGCUGGUGAGAGCUGCUUGGUGAUGCUCAUGUCAGAAAUUAUGGAAGGGAAAAGGUAUAAGGUGAAGCCCGAGACACCUCAUGAUGAUUUCUCGAGUUGGAGGAUGCUCAAAGUGUAAGGUGGAAGCUCUUACAUAGCUCAUAAAGCAAGGAGUGGCUAGCUUCACGAUUUGGUGAUUGCACUUGCAUGCUGCGAUCGGAUGAAAAUAUGGUGUUGAACCCACCGUAACUCCAUUUCAGGACUGCCAUAUCUAGUGACAAUCAAGAGGAAAACACCACCUACAUCACGAGCGCGCAAGGAAAGUCCCUUGCUCUAGUGGCGCGGUUGCGCAGCCUGCCAACGCGGACGCGCUUCUCCUCCACGUGGGGGCGCCACUUGGGUUUCCUGCUCCGUACCCAGAUCGUCGCGGACGUGCUUGUUCGUGAGAUGGCAUGCCCGGACGGAUCUAUUUUUGGACUUCUUCCUCAUUCCUCCCUAGUUAGUUAUACUCUAAAUAGUUAUUUCCUUCUAUUUUGAUGAACAACUAGAAUUAGACUUCAAUUUCUAUUUUUGCAUUAGAUUUUAGAGAGAGAAACUUGAGAGAGAAAUUGGUGAUUUCUACUUUUGAUCUUCUUCUUCUUUGAAUGCAAGAACAAUUUCUUAAAUUUGAUCAAAGUUUGUAAGAUUCUUCUUCUUCUUAAUUCAAUCUCUUUGCAUUUGAUUUUGUUA
This is a long non-coding RNA of Chenopodium quinoa (quinoa), 1370 nucleotides long. RefSeq lists it as uncharacterized. The transcript is spliced from 2 exons. The record is from RefSeq and is a predicted model, not a curated record. Lineage: Eukaryota; Viridiplantae; Streptophyta; Magnoliopsida; Caryophyllales; Amaranthaceae.